Molecule: long non-coding RNA, 1653 nt
Filed under: Homo sapiens (human)
Lineage: Eukaryota; Metazoa; Chordata; Mammalia; Primates; Hominidae
Description: HSALNT0153998
Source: RNAcentral
CUGUGUAUAGCAUUAUUUCAUCCAGGUAUGGGGCAGGACCCCUUCUGAAAUGAGAGUCUUUUUUUAUUUUUAUUAUUUUUUUUAUUUUUAGUAGAGACAGGGUUUCUCCACAUCGGUCAGGCUGAUCUCGAACUCCUGACUUCAGGUGAUCCACCCACCUCGGCUUCCCAAAGUGCUGGGAUUACAGGCAUGAGCCACCAUGCCCAGCCUGAAAUGAGAGUCUUAUGAUCUACAAUUAGACAAGGCAGUUAGGUCUCCCGGACAUCACCUACAUGUCCCAUUUGUGCUUCAAACUUAAUGUGUUUCCAGCUGAAUUUAACUUCCUUCUCAAACCUGCUUCCUGUAUCCUUCAGAGUGCGUGGAACCAGCAUCCAGUCGACCGAACCAGAGACCUGGGAGCAGUAUAUAAUUCCAUCCUCUCUCACCUUUACUCACUAUAUAUGCUGAUGGUCACUGGGUAGUAUCAGUUAGGGUUUCUCUGGUUCCUAGCACAGAAACCAACUCAUGUAAACACAACAAGGUUUGUAGAAGAGUACUAGAGAAGUUCACAGAAACAAAGGAAAAUUAAAGAACUAGGCUUCAUGAAGGGUAGAAAGCAGGCAACUGUGGGGUUCUCCCCAAGAGGAGCUGGAAGACCAUCCCCCAGAGAACUACACCCACAUAAUUCGGCAACAAUACAGCCUUUCAUUUUCGGAUGAGGUGGAAUAAGAAUUAUAAACUCCAAACUUUUGAUUCAACCUUGGUUAAAAUGAAAAGAAACCAUUGGUUGCAAUGCUAUUGGAUGGGAGGUAAAUAAUCUUGUUGACGUAAAUCUUCAAGAAUCCAAACUACACUGCUGAUCCCCACAUUUCUCAACAACAAAAGAAGGAGAUGAUUAGAGGAAGUUUACAUUCUGAUGACUACAGGAACACAAUGAACAAGAUAUUGGCUCUAAGAGACGAAGGUCAUACUUAAGUUUCAAAUCUAUGCAUGCUCUAUUUCUUAUUAUCAUGACCAUGCCUUCUUUAAUGUUUAAUAAAGAGCAACAGACUCCUGUUUUAAGUAAAUUUUCUCAUUCACGCUAUAAAUGAGUUGACCAGCCUUGUAUUCACAUAUAUACUGUGUAGAUUCUUUUGUCAGACCAAGAGUAUUUUGAGUGACCCUCUCCCAUAGCUGUAGAUAUUAAAGUCACCUCUGAUACAGCUGAUUUCAAUGCAAUACAAAGCUGAUUUAUACAGUAGUAUCAGGAUCAAACUCCUGGGAGGGUUGGAAUUGAUUGAUUUAGUUUGGAUCACAUAUCCAUCCUGUCAGGGGGAGUUGAGAGUAUUAAUAUAGGAAUGGGGAUAGGAAAGUUGAACAAUAAGGUAAACAAUAAUAACCACAUCUGAUAUGGUUUGGCUCUGUGUCUUCACCCAAUCUCAUCUUAAAUUGUAAUCCCCACGUGUAGAGAGAGGGACCUGGAGGAAGUGAGUGGAUCAUGGGGGUGGUUCCCCCCAUGCUGUUCCCAAUAGUGAGGGAGUUCUCACAAGAUCUGGCAUUUCCCCUGCCCUCACUCUGUCUCUCUCCUGCCGCCAUGUAAGACGUGCCUUGCUUUCCCUUCACCUUCCACCAAGAUUGUAAGUUUCCUGAGGCCUCCUCAGGCAUACAGAACUGUGAGUCAAUUAAACCUCUCUU